CUACGGGGCGCAGCAGUGAGGAAUAUUGGUCAAUGGGCGAGAGCCUGAACCAGCCAAGUCGCGUGAAGGAUGACGGCCCUACGGGUUGUAAACUUCUUUUGUCAGGGAGCAAUUGGGUCCACGCGUGGGCUUAGCGAGAGUACCUGAAGAAAAAGCAUCGGCUAACUCCGUGCCAGCAGCCGCGGUAAUACGUAGGUGGCAAGCGUUGUCCGGAUUUACUGGGUGUAAAGGGCGUGCAGCCGGAGAGACAAGUCAGAUGUGAAAUCCGCAGGCUCAACCUGCGAACUGCAUUUGAAACUGUUUCC
RNAcentral lists this ribosomal RNA (305 nucleotides) under uncultured bacterium. Its description in RNAcentral is "bacterial SSU rRNA". It matches the Rfam family "Bacterial small subunit ribosomal RNA", at positions 339 to 640 of the family's 1533-position model. The record is from RNAcentral.